Molecule: long non-coding RNA, 334 nt
Organism: Bombus huntii
Lineage: Eukaryota; Metazoa; Arthropoda; Insecta; Hymenoptera; Apidae
Exons: 2
Source: RefSeq, a predicted model, not a curated record
GGUUCGGGUUUCGGCCCGUGUAUGCCCUCAUGGGUGGCCGCUGCCUGACUUACUAGAUGGCUAGGUUGGUGACGUACCAGUAGCAGUAACAGUCGUGGUGUAGUAACAAAUGUGAUAGUGAUAGCAGUAGUAGUAGUAGUAGUAAUAGUAGUAGUAGUAGUAGUAGUAGUAGUAGUAGUAGUAGUAGUAGUAGUAGUAGUGGUGGUGGUGGUGGCAGUAGUAGUAACAGUAGUAGUAGUUAUAUUGUGGGUUGUUCAUUAUGAAGAGUAAUAUAAAGGGUCAAUAAUAAAGUUGAGUAAUAAGAUGUCAAGAGUAUAAAUGUAAUUCAGAAGGA